UACGUAGGGCGCAAGCGUUGUCCGGAAUUAUUGGGCGUAAAGAGCUCGUAGGCGGUUUGUCGCGUCUGUCGUGAAAGCUUGGGGCUUAACCCCAAGUCUGCGGUGGAUACGGGCAGACUAGAGGCAGGUAGGGGAGAACGGAAUUCCCGGUGUAGCGGUGAAAUGCGCAGAUAUCGGGAGGAACACCGGUGGCGAAGGCGGUUCUCUGGGCCUGUACUGACGCUGAGGAGCGAAAGCGUGGGAGCGAACAGG
This 252-nucleotide ribosomal RNA is filed under the name uncultured bacterium. RNAcentral's name for it is "partial 16S ribosomal RNA". It matches the Rfam family "Bacterial small subunit ribosomal RNA", at positions 524 to 776 of the family's 1533-position model. The record is from RNAcentral.